CAUUCACACAUAACACAUCACACAAUUAAAGGAAUAGUUCACCCAAAAAUGAGAAUGUAGAGACCAUCCAAGAUGUAGAUAUGUUUGUUUCUUCAUGAUAACAGAUUUUAGCAAGAUUUUAGAAAUUUAGCAAAAAUUAUUCCAUAAUCCAUAAUAACACUUCCUCCAGUGAAAAAGUGUUCUGGUGUGAAUCAGGAGAGAAAUCUGCACAGAUCAAGUAGCGUUUAAACAGCUCUAAACAAAUAUGUGUCUGGAUUUUGAUGUGAGAGACAACAGGAGAUUUUCACUUUUUCACUGGAGGAAGUGUUAUUAUGGAUUCUGGACUCAUGUUUGAGUUAAAGCGUCUUAAUGCUGGAUUUGUUUCAGCUUUUGUCUUCUCCAGAUGUUAACUGAUGGACUGGAGUGCUGUGGAUUACUUGUGGAUUAUUGUGAUGUUUUUAUCAGCUGUUUGGACUCUCAUUCUGACGGCACCCAUUCACUGCAGAGCAUCCAUUGCUGAGACACUGAUGCAGUGCUACAUUUCUCCAAACCUGAUGAAGAAACAACAUCCUGAUCCUGGAUGGCCUGAGGAUGUGUUGCAGCUGGCCAUCAGGAUAAAGCUGAAAGAUAUUCAGCCACGUCGAGCAGAGCAUUCGGAGACUGUUAAACACAGAGGUGAAUCUCCCUGCUGAUUAAAAUGGAUGUUUCCAUGCUGAUCCUUCACUGUGAAGAAACUCCUUCAUAUCCCGCCCAUGUCUGGCUAAUGUGUAAAAGUGAUGAAUCGCAGGGGGUCGAAGGGCCGCUUGAUUGUGCUUCACGGGCAGCCGAAACACGCUGAGCUGGACGGACUCCUUCAACACAUUUGUGUGGUGUUGAUGUAACGUUAUUAGAGUCAGUGUGGCAUGGCUAUAACUGCUCAGAGAUCAGAGAUGCUCAGUGAUGUUGACAUCGAUAUUUUCAUUGUAAAUACUUCACGGUGCUUCAAAUACAUCAAAAUACCAGAGUCACACACUGAGCUACAGUCACUGAAAUAUGCACCUUCUGUCCUGACACGUGAAUCUCCAUACGGACAUAAAGUUAACGUACAUUAUAUGUAAAUAUUAGUAUGUAGUAGAACAAAUAUACCAAGUAUAGUAUUGUAAAUAAUAACAGAACUUACAUUUGUGUGUGGAAAAUUCAUUUACUGAAAAGUGGAAUUAAAAAUUGAAAGAAAAUGUCAUUCUCAGAGGGGGAAAAAAAGGUACAAAAGCUGUCACUGGGUUGGUAUCUGUUCAAAAUGUACUAUUUAGAUACUAAUAUUUGCACUUGCGUUACUAAUAUGUAUCUUAAAGGAAUAAAUAUGCACAUUUUAAGGAUAAAUAAGGUACAAAGGUUCAGUGACAGAUUUAGUACCUUUUCUUCUGAGAAUGUAAGUACUUUUACUAGAAUACUCUAAUAUACUUUAGCUCAGUUUGUGUGUCGUUCUGCAGUCCUCUGACGCUGCCAUGCAGAACAUGUGUGAAACACCAUUAUAACUGCGUAUUUAUUACCAUGUGCAUAAAUGCCCUUUAGUCAGUGUGGCUGCUGACCUAUUUCAUUCAUUCAUAUUUCAUUCAAUCUCAUUUGGCUGAUAGAAACCACAGUUUCACACUUGCAAGGCAUGACACAACAUGUUUCCAGUCCUUUUUCUGUCCACAAUGAAUGUAAAAAUGCACAGGACACAUUACUUGGCAAUCACAACAGUGCACAGACACAAACCAGAUAAUUAUCACAUCCCGAGGGCUGUGAUUUAAUUAAAGGGGUCAUAUGAUGCUUUUUAAAAGAUCAUUAUUUUGUGUAUUUGGUGUAAAAGAAUAUGUUGACAUGCUUUAAUGUUCAAAAAACACAUUAUUUUUCAAAUACUGUACAUUAGUGUAGGUCCUCUAUGCCGCGCCUCUCUCAAACGCGUAAUUUUCUUCAAAGUCCUCCUUCUUACUAGCGCAGUCUGCUCUGAUUGGCCAACUGACCCAUUGCAUUGUGAUUGGCCGAACACCACAAGCACUGGUCGGAAAUGUAACGCCCCUUUCCAUAAUCGCGAGCUUCAUCUUUCAAAAUAAAUGUAAAGACAGUUAAUAAUGUCCUUAGUUUUACCAUCAGUUCAAGCUGAAAGAGGAACAGAGUCACGUGACAGACACAGUGAUGAAGCUCGUAUGUGUUUGCAGUACACAAGCCACGGACGGUUAAGACAGCUGACUCCACUGUGUGACCCUGUCUUUCUCUCUCUCACACACACACAAACACAACGCGCAAAACUCCACAUUUGAACAGUCUAUAGCAAAUACUUAAACUAAUAACAAAACAUACUUACAGUUGCUGAUUCAGAAGCGCCAGAUUGUCGUAGCAAAGUCAGAAUGACCUCCACUCCUAGGUUCACGAAACGGUUGUCUAUAAAAUGCGUUGCUGUUCUGUUGUAAGUAAUCUUAAAGAGUCCUAAAUGCAUCUACUUUCAGAAGGCCAAAUAAAGUGCUUUUGCUUUCUCCUAGAUACACACAGCAUCUCCCUGACAUGCUGCUUCAACACUAACUGUGUUACUGAAACCACCCCUUUGUUCUUUGCCUAAACAUUUGAGCGGCAUUACGCAAGUAUUUCCACAUAGUGACAUAGACAUGUGGGGGUGUGUUAGAACGAGCUGUUUCAGGGAGGCCUGGCAGAGUCUUAACUUUGAUAAAGAAUAUCUCUUUGGGUUUGAGACUUUAGUCUUUGCAACUUUACAGAUCUUCUUCAUGUACCAAGAGCUUGUAACACUCCAAAGAGAAAGGAAAUCUUGAAAUCGCAUCAUAUGACCCCUUUAAAUAAAUAUAUGCAUGUGUCUUUCAGCAUGAAGCACAGCACUGUAUUCAUUUACACACGAGCAGCUCGAUUUGCUGUAAAUACGGCUGUAAAUUUUACAUUUAAAAUUUGCUGUAAAUUUACCAUAUUUGUAAUCAGAAGCAUUUAUAGACAGGAGAUUUAGGGUCUUCACCGAAA
Cyprinus carpio carpio is the source of this 2964-nucleotide long non-coding RNA. The record is from Ensembl. NCBI's taxonomy places the organism in Eukaryota, Metazoa, Chordata, Actinopteri, Cypriniformes, Cyprinidae.